AAAUAGAACUUUGCAGAGAGAGUUAACAGGGCGUGAAACCGUUAAUUGGCAAACGAAUCGGAGCCACGAAGUCGUUUCGCUGAUAGUGCUAGUGAGUUCAGCGGUCGAGCCGCAAAGCUCGGCCGUGUAUUCUCGAUUGGCGCCAUCUUUGUAAGCGUACACUGCAACCAGUUAGACAAUUGGUGAUGGAACCAGUCCGCUAGUAGUAGUGUGGCGUUCCUCGGAGCGUUUCAUGCUGCUGGGCGUAAGCGAGUGAACUAUUACCAAAUACUGACUGGCGAAAUGAAAAUCACCGCGAGGUGUUUCCAUAGAAUGCCGUCUACUGCAUGCGGGUCUACGUGUUCGACCAUGUGGUUAAAGCUCAGCAUUUUUGAAUUCGGACUUGCCAGAUGUCGGUGGGGCAACCCUCGAUUCUGGUAUAGCCUCCGUCUAAUCGGGUGUUGACUUUGCUGUGUGUUGUUCGGAGACGCUACGAUUGGGCUUGUAUGCAAGUGGGUUGGCCAUGAUUGGCAGUGAGUAGGUCGGCUUUCCGAACGACCCGUCUUGAAACACGGACCAAGGAGUCUAAUUAGGCAUCGAGUCGAUCGGUCUUGAAUAGGCCAGACUGGGUAGUUCUACCCGAGAAGGCGUAGAGAUCGUGUGAUCAUUGGGCCAACCUUAGGUCCUUUGCGCAACAUGUGCCUGUUCGUAUAGCAAUGUGCAAGAUUGCUGAGCGGAGUAAAGAGAUGCCUGAUUGGUACCCGAAAGAUGGUGAUGCUUGGGCAAAUUGAAGCCAGAGGAAACUCUGGUGGAGGAUUUAGUCUGACGUGCAAAUCGAUCGUCAGACCUGAGUAUAGGGGCGAAAGACUAAUCGAACCAUC
Molecule: ribosomal RNA, 860 nt
Filed under: Tetra sp. KK22
Lineage: Eukaryota; Metazoa; Arthropoda; Arachnida; Trombidiformes; Eriophyidae
Description: partial large subunit ribosomal RNA
Rfam family: Eukaryotic large subunit ribosomal RNA
Source: RNAcentral